GACGUAGGGUGCGAGCGUUGUCCGGAUUUAUUGGGCGUAAAGAGCUCGUAGGCGGCUCGUCGCGUCGACCGUGAAAACCCGCAGCUUAACUGUGGGCUUGCGGUUGAUACGGGCGGGCUAGAGUUCGGUAGGGGAGACUGGAAUUCCUGGUGUAGCGGUGAAAUGCGCAGAUAUCGGGAGGAACACCAGUGGCGAAGGCGAUCACCUGGGGUUGUUCUGACGCUGAGGAGCGAAAGCUAGGGGAGCAAACGGG
RNAcentral lists this ribosomal RNA (253 nucleotides) under uncultured bacterium. RNAcentral describes it as "partial 16S ribosomal RNA". It matches the Rfam family "Bacterial small subunit ribosomal RNA", at positions 524 to 776 of the family's 1533-position model. The record is from RNAcentral.